GGUGGCGGGGCCCGGGGCGGCGUUGACCAUGACCCAGCAGGGCGCGGCGCUGCAGAACUACAACAACGAGCUGGUCAAGUGUGAGCGGCGCAGCCGGGACGGGGAGGUCGGGAGGGCCGCAGGGCCGCAGCGGGGUGCCCCUGGACCCGCCUCGCUGCGGGCAUCGCGCGGCUGAGCAGAGCCCUCCGUGCCGGGGGCUGGGUGUCCGUGGCCCGAGCCCUCGCUGUCUCGCAGGCCCCGCGCCGGGCGCUCGGGGGUGGUGCCUGACUCAGGCUUCCUCGGGUGUAAGGAGGCCCGCCCUCCGCCGCCGCGCUCCUACCCUGGGCCCACAGCGCCGCCCCUCCCGGCCCCCAGGCAUAGAGGAGCUGUGCCAGAAGCGGGAGGAGCUGUGCCGGCAGAUCCAGGAGGAGGAGGACGAGAAGCAGCGGCUGCAGAAUGAGAUCCUAGAGAGCUCCCAGACUUUGCUCAGCGUUCUCAAGAGGGAAGCUGGGAACUUGACCAAGGCUACAGCCUCAGACCAGAAAAGUAGCGGUGGCAGGGACAGCUGACCAGACCAC
This 557-nucleotide small RNA is filed under the name Pongo abelii (Sumatran orangutan). Its description in RNAcentral is "retained intron". Lineage: Eukaryota; Metazoa; Chordata; Mammalia; Primates; Hominidae. The record is from RNAcentral.